Ziziphus jujuba (common jujube) is the source of this 2950-nucleotide RNA transcript. RefSeq lists it as uncharacterized. NCBI's taxonomy places the organism in Eukaryota, Viridiplantae, Streptophyta, Magnoliopsida, Rosales, Rhamnaceae. The transcript has 5 exons. The record is from RefSeq and is a predicted model, not a curated record.
CACUCUUAUGGUCUCACUAGUUUUGGUAAUAAUGGUCUCACCGGUUUGAAGCUACUGUCGAUGGCAAACUGUAGUAGCCCUCUGUCUAAACCCUACAUAUGGCGUCUCAGGGCUUCCCCAGUCUUCCAAAUCCCAGAACCUUGCCCACUCUAUCUCCUCCCUCUCCCGCUUCCGACCCACAAAAUGUACCGUAAAGCUUAAACCCACCAAAUGUGGCAGAGAGCUUGGUGUACUAAAGAACUCCACAAGGUAAGCAUCAUAACCUAGAUAAGAUAGAGGAUGUAAUCUGUGCAACUCGAUUCGGGAUUUGGUUCCCGAAUUCGAUCACUCUCUUGUGUAGGAUAUGUUGCACGGUACCAAGAACUCGGACACACGCACACCAGUUCUUCAGGUGGAUAGAGUGUGCCAAUUUGUUUAAGCACGAUACAGAGACCCAUUUGAAAAUUAUUGAGAUUUUGGGCCAAGCUUUGAAGCUCAACCAUGCCCGAUUGCAUACUAUUAGACAUGUCCAAGAAGGGCGUGGAAUGGGAUGAGGAGCUUUUUGUUGUACUGAUUGAUAAUUAUGGUAAAGCUGGGAAGGAGUGUUAGAUCUUAUGAUGCAUUGUUUAAGGUAAUUCUUCGAAGGGCAUGAUAAAUGAUUGGUGAAAAGAUACUUUAAUGCAAUGUUGAAUGAGGGAUAGAGCUUACUAGGCACUCGUACAAUGUUAUGCUCUGGGGAUUUCUUUCUCUCAUAUGAGAUUGGAGACUGCGAAAUGGUUUUAUGAUGAUAUGAAGAGCAAGGGGAAUUUCACCUGAUGUUGCUACAUAGAAUACGAUGAUUAAUGGGUAUAAUCAGUUCAAACUGAUGGAUGAGUCAGAAAAAUUGUUUACAGAGAUGGAAGGAUGGAAUUUGGCACCUAUUGUGAGAAGUUAUACUACUAUGUCGAAAGGAAAUGUUUUGGUUGGACGAGUUGGUGAUGCACUCAAAAUUUUUGAGGAGAUGAAGUCUUUUGGUGAAAGGAGAACAUGAACUUGUGUGCUAAGAUUUUGGAAGCCCUUCUCUUGAAAGGUCAUGUUGAGAAUGCAUCGGGACGAACUGAUUUACUAAUGAGUAGUGGAUAUGCUCCUAAUUUUGAUAAUCUUUUAUCCAAUCUUUAUGAGAAAGGGAAGACCAUUGCUGCUGUCAAGAUAUUAGAUUAUUCUUUUGAGAGAGACUGUAUUAUCAACUUUGCAAGCUAUGAUAAGGUGUUGGCUGCUCUUCUAGAAACAGGGAACACUCUUAGUGCUCAUUCAAUAUUGUGCAAAAUAAUGGAGAAAGGAGGGACCAAUGAUUGGAGUUGCUAUGAAGAUCUUAUAAGGAGCCUUAAUCAGGAGGGAAAUGCUAAGCGAGCAAGAUAUUAUUCUAGAGAAUGAAAGAGACAUUAUACCAGUGGGAGCAAAAAAUGGACAGUACAAGCUUUGGGUGCUGCCUGAUUUGCUGUCUCUAUAACUUUUUGCAGCUUCUUCCUGAUUGUGCAUUGUUGAGUUGCUGCAUUGCGCUAUUGUGCUAAUUAUCAAUUUUAUCGUGCAGAGAGCCGAGGAGAAUCUUGGGACUCAGAAGGAAACCAUAAGAAUAAUGUAAGACUAAGUUUAUUUUCUGGUCCAGUAUGGAGAAUGCUAUAUGGUUUCUGCAGUUCUCUGCUCUCAGUGCUGGUUGAAGAAGCAGAAAGAUACCAUGCAACCUGAUCAGCAAGAAGAAGGGGAAAAAGUUAGUUGGACUUCUGGGAUCAUAUUUGGAAAAGGAGAGUAAAUUGGUCUACGGAAAAUGUGGGAUGCUAUUUGUACUUGAUAUUCUUCGAUUGAGAUAAUCUGAAAUUUGUUAGAUUAGUUUGCACUUUUUAUAACUGAUCAUUGUAAUUUCCUUUGAAUUUCAAUUUGGUAGUCAGAGAAGUUUUGAAAUGCUAGUGAGGAUGUGUAUAUACAUAUAAUCUGGUAGAAAGUAAGAUGUCUAUUUUGGAGCUUAAGGAAUACUAGUUUUAAGCAUAGGAAAUGUUCCAAAAGGCAUAGCGACUUUAAACUCUUUGCUUUUGAGUACAGGACUAUUGAACGAUGAGUUUCUUAUUGCAAUAUUGUAUUUUAACAGUAGUCAAUAUUGAGGCACUACAGCCUUAUGCUAUAACUAUCCUAAGUAAAUGGUUAUCACCAUUAAAUUGAACUCUAUUGUUCCAUGUUAAAUUUGUAAAGCUCAAUGGAUGUAAUUCUAUUUGGUGAUUAAAUAUUUAUUUUGUCAUCUCCCUUCUUUGAUGGUUUUUUCUGCAAUUUUUCUUGUGUCAAAUUAUUUUUUCUAUAUGUUUUCUUUCAUAUGUGUGUUUUCUCUUUUCAGGGCAUUAUUGGCAUGAAAACAAAAUAUGGAACUUCAUAUAAAGCUUCUCCCUGAUUGUGUCCCCUACUCUAUGGCCUACAUUCUUGAGUUGCUGACAUUGCACCAUUGUGCUGGUUGUAAAUUUUAUCGUGCAGAGAGUCGGAGGAGAGUCUUGGGGCUCAGAAGGAAACCGCAUAAAAAGUCUAGGACUAGGCUUCUGUAGGUCCUCGUUUUGCAUUGAUUCAAAGAACACUGGAAACUGUGGGAACCAGUUUCAAGAAGAUUCCAACUGAAGAUUGUCCAACCAUCAGAAGAGGUUCAGUAGCAUGGAUUGGUUCAGGCCCAGAAUUGUUUAUAAGCCUUGCAAAUCAUGAAGAGUGGAAAAACUCAUACACUGUUUUCGGUUCUGUAACUUCCACAAGACAUGAAUUUUGCGGAGAAAAUUGCUCAUCUCCCCACCAAACCAGAUGUUCGGAACAAUAUCGUAUCUGUGCUAGAAGAAGCUGUUCCAUUGGUGAUUCAAAGAAUCAAAACCAGUCAUGGAGAUAUUACUACAGGUGUAAAAACAGAUUGACAAAGGUUUAAGUGUAAAUUCUGGGUGCAUAUGCAAUCAAAGUUUGUUUUUCCUUU